GGCCCUGUGGCUCAGUUGGUAGAGCAUGGUGUUUGCAAAACCCAGGGUUGUGGGUUCGAUUCCCAUCGGGGGCCA
Non-coding RNA from Salmo salar (Atlantic salmon), 75 nucleotides. The record is from the annotation of a RefSeq genome assembly. Lineage: Eukaryota; Metazoa; Chordata; Actinopteri; Salmoniformes; Salmonidae.